CUUCUUCAUUUCUCCGAUCAAAUUCUUGUAGCAAUUAAGGAAUGUUUCAAUCCCCUUAAGCGGGCUAAAGAUCGGCAAUGGAAACUCAGCAUCAGCUAAUGAAUUAGGAAGGCACUGGCGAGGAAGCUAGCUAUGAGAAAAUUAUAUUCCAAUUCACGAUAACUCGCCUUUGUUCCACAAUAUGCUCAAUCAUCUGAAUUAUCAAUUCUUGAUGCCCACAUUCCUUCUUCAAUUUCGUCACUAUUGCUUUCACCCGCUUCUCAGCAUCGCGAAAUUGCUUUUCACAAUUUGGGUAAGGGAAAAUUAACUUGAAUGACAACUUGAUUAUCCUGACCCUUUUUGCGAUUCAUUGGUUAAGGGAAUCUUUCAUUAACAGUCCAUGAUCUUGGGUCUCUCUUCGAAGCGAACAACAUUGCCCCCAAGCGUCCUUAACGAUGAAGCAUUUUAGAAAAGAUUCAUCCUCCAUAUGAUCUGUAAUGUGGCAAGAGAUGCAGGCAUUGGCGACCCUCUCAUAGGAUACCCAAAUUGUUUUCUUUUUCUUUUUCCCUUUUUUUUGUUUUUUUUGUUUCUUUUUUCUUUUUUCUUUUUUUUUGUUUGUUUUUUUUUUUGACACACACUCAACAAUGGAUACCCAUGAGGGGGACAUUAGGAUAAUUGUCGCAACGGCGUGCGAUGCAUGAUAUUUGCUGCCAAGAAAACCCACAAUUUAAAAAUUUCCUCCUCUGAGCUUGCAUAAAGUUGCGCUCAUUCAUCUGCCCCUUUCAUCUUUGGUUUACAUUGCAGUAGUUCACCUAGGGGACAUGUGACAUUCAAAACGUCCUUACUCGUGCGAGAAAUGAAGCAUGCAUACAACAUCGGUAAAUAGCUAACAUCUUCUUUCUCCUUGGCUCACAACAUCGACCGAGGGUCCCAUAAGUUUCAGUUGGGCCAAUAGUGAUUGGAUUCUUAGAGCGAACUUUGUACCUUGCAACUGCAUUCCUAUCGGUGUAGUCAACUAACUCCCUAGCAUUAGGAAAAAGCAUGACACCAUAGUAGACAAGAGCUAGUACAUUCAUGAAUAUUUCCCAAUUUUCCUCCUCAGUUAAUCAGUGCAAAAACCACUAUAAGCAUCCUUGAGUAAGACCCCUUGUUGUAAG
RNAcentral lists this long non-coding RNA (1136 nucleotides) under Vigna radiata. RNAcentral describes it as "long non-coding RNA (VRAD_LNC006594)". Lineage: Eukaryota; Viridiplantae; Streptophyta; Magnoliopsida; Fabales; Fabaceae. The record is from RNAcentral.